GUCGUCAGAGGUGAAAUUCUUGGAUUGCCGGAAGACGAACUAUUGCGAAAGCAUUUGCCAAGGAUGUUUUCAUUGAUCAAGAACGAAGGAAGGGGGAUCGAAAACGAUCAGAUACCGUUGUAGUCUCUUCUGUAAACUAUGCCAAUUGGGGAUUAGCUCAGGAUUUUUAAUGACUGAGUUAGCACCCGAAGAGAAAUCUUUAAAUGAGGUUCGGGGGGGAGUAUGGUCGCAAGGCUGAAACUUAAAGGAAUUGACGGAAGGGCACCACCAGGUGUGGAGCCUGCGGCUUAAUUUGACUCAACACGGGGAAACUCACCAGGUCCAGACACAAUAAGGAUUGACAGAUUGAUAGCUCUUUCUUGAUCUUGUGGUUGGUGGUGCAUGGCCGUUCUUAGUUGGUGGAGUGAUUUGUCUGGUUAAUUCCGAUAACGAACGAGACCUUAACCUGCUAAAUAGACCAGCCGGCUUUGGCUGGCUGCUGUCUUCUUAGAGGGACUAUCAGCGUUUAGCUGAUGGAAGUUUGAGGCAAUAACAGGUCUGUGAUGCCCUUAGAUGUUCUGGGCCGCACGCGCGCUACACUGACAGAGCCAGCGAGUCUACCACCUUGGCCGGAAGGCCUGGGUAAUCUUGUGAAACUCUGUCGUGAUGGGGAUAGAACAUUGCAAUUAUUGUUCUUCAACGAGGAAUACCUAGUAAGCGUGAGUCAUCAGCUCGCGUUGAUUACGUCCCUGCCCUUUGUACACACCGCCCGUCGCUACUACCGAUUGAAUGGCUUAGUGAGGCCUCCAGAUUGGCUAUUGGGAUCUCGCGAGAGAACCUGACUGCUGAAAAGUUGUACGAAC
RNAcentral lists this ribosomal RNA (842 nucleotides) under Leucosporidium sp. RNAcentral describes it as "SSU rRNA". It matches the Rfam family "Eukaryotic small subunit ribosomal RNA", at positions 901 to 1764 of the family's 1831-position model. Lineage: Eukaryota; Fungi; Basidiomycota; Microbotryomycetes; Leucosporidiales; Leucosporidiaceae. The record is from RNAcentral.